CAGCCGCCACGGUAAUACGGAGGAUCCAAGCGUUAUCCGGAAUCAUUGGGUUUAAAGGGUCCGUAGGCGGUCUUGUAAGUCAGUGGUGAAAGCCCAUCGCUCAACGGUGGAACGGCCAUUGAUACUGCAGGACUUGAAUUAUUGGGAAGUAACUAGAAUAUGUAGUGUAGCGGUGAAAUGCUUAGAGAUUACAUGGAAUACCAAUUGCGAAGGCAGGUUACUACCAAUUGAUUGACGCUGAUGGACGAAAGCGUGGGUAGCGAACAGGAUUAGAUACCCGCGUAGUCCCUGUCUCUUAUAC
Molecule: ribosomal RNA, 301 nt
Filed under: uncultured bacterium
Lineage: Bacteria
Description: partial 16S ribosomal RNA
Rfam family: Bacterial small subunit ribosomal RNA
Source: RNAcentral